Long non-coding RNA from Entelurus aequoreus (snake pipefish), 578 nucleotides. RefSeq lists it as uncharacterized. NCBI's taxonomy places the organism in Eukaryota, Metazoa, Chordata, Actinopteri, Syngnathiformes, Syngnathidae. The record is from RefSeq and is a predicted model, not a curated record. The transcript is spliced from 3 exons.
UGUUGUGCUUACUUGGACUGUGAUGAAGCUGUGAGGACUCAGGUGGUUUGUCUUCAUGGUCUUCAGUCUUCACAGAGACAACAGUCAGUGGAAACUUGGUGAGAUCAGCCUCCUCCUGCCCUAGAAGACACUCUCCCUCCUGGCUGAUCCAGAGAUCUCCCUCUUUAAUGUGGGAUGGCUCUGGCUCCUCCUCUUCUCCUUCUUCAAUGUGAGGGGCGGAUCGCAAUCAACGUUAUAGGUGCAUUACGCCACCUACUGUACUGGAGUGUGGAUUCUCAGGACAAGCACCGAUGAUGGACCCACUGGAGCAGAUAGCGGCGCCGUGGGACGGCCCGCUGGAGACGAAGAUGGCGGCGCCGUGGGACGACCCACUGGAGACGAAGAUGGCAUGUCAAUAGCUGAAACAGCAGGCGGCUGGGCUGUUGGCGUAUCCAGAGCUGAGGCGGCUGGGCUGUCGGCGUGUCCAGAGCUGGAACAGCAGGCGGCUGAGCUGUUGCCGUGUCCAGAGCUGGAGCAGCAGGCGGCUGGGCUGUCUGCGUGUCCAGAGCUGGCAUCCGCAGGCCCACUGGGGUUGCUGG